This 492-nucleotide ribosomal RNA is filed under the name uncultured bacterium. RNAcentral describes it as "partial 16S ribosomal RNA". It matches the Rfam family "Bacterial small subunit ribosomal RNA", at positions 29 to 507 of the family's 1533-position model. The record is from RNAcentral.
AGUGAACGCUGGCGGUAGGCCUAACACAUGCAAGUCGAACGGCAGCACAGUAAGAGCUUGCUCUUACGGGUGGCGAGUGGCGGACGGGUGAGGAAUACAUCGGAAUCUACUUUUUCGUGGGGGAUAACGUAGGGAAACUUACGCUAAUACCGCAUACGACCUACGGGUGAAAGCAGGGGAUCUUCGGACCUUGCGCGAUUGAAUGAGCCGGUGUCGGAUUAGCUAGUUGGCGGGGUAAAGGCCCACCAAGGCGACGAUCCGUAGCUGGUCUGAGAGGAUGAUCGGCCACACUGGAACUGAGACACGGUCCAGACUCCUACGGGAGGCAGCAGUGGGGAAUAUUGGACAAUGGGCGCAAGCCUGAUCCAGCCAUACCGCGUGGGUGAAGAAGGCCUUCGGGUUGUAAAGCCCUUUUGUUGGGAAAGAAAAGCAGCAGGUUAAUACCCCGCUGUUCUGACGGUACCCAAAGAAUAAGCACCGGCUAGCUUCGUG